RNAcentral lists this ribosomal RNA (492 nucleotides) under uncultured bacterium. Its description in RNAcentral is "partial 16S ribosomal RNA". It matches the Rfam family "Bacterial small subunit ribosomal RNA", at positions 29 to 507 of the family's 1533-position model. The record is from RNAcentral.
AGUGAACGCUGGCGGUAGGCCUAACACAUGCAAGUCGAACGGCAGCACAGUAAGAGCUUGCUCUUACGGGUGGCGAGUGGCGGACGGGUGAGGAAUACAUCGGAAUCUACUUUUUCGUGGGGGAUAACGUAGGGAAACUUACGCUAAUACCGCAUACGACCUACGGGUGAAAGCAGGGGAUCUUCGGACCUUGCGCGAUUGAAUGAGCCGAUGUCGGAUUAGCUAGUUGGCGGGGUAAAGGCCCACCAAGGCGACGAUCCGUAGCUGGUCUGAGAGGAUGAUCAGCCACACUGGAACUGAGACACGGUCCAGACUCCUACGGGAGGCAGCAGUGGGGAAUAUUGGACAAUGGGCGCAAGCCUGAUGCAGCCAUACCGCGUGGGUGAAGAAGGCCUUCGGGUUGUAAAGCCCUUUUGUUGGGAAAGAAAAGCAGCAGGAUAAAACGCCGCUGUUCUGACGGUACCCAAAGAAUAAGCACCGGCUAACUUCGUG